Molecule: RNA transcript, 5935 nt
Organism: Corapipo altera (White-ruffed manakin)
Lineage: Eukaryota; Metazoa; Chordata; Aves; Passeriformes; Pipridae
Gene: BBS12
Gene name: Bardet-Biedl syndrome 12
Exons: 3
Source: RefSeq, a predicted model, not a curated record
GCGGAGCAGCGGCCGCCGUGUCCAGGCAACUGGCGUGUCCAGGGAAGCGCCGGGAAGCGCGCACACACCGAUGCUGCCCAGUGCCCAUGGCUUUCAGGGAUGUGAAUGCAAGGAGACAUAUUGGACUCCAGCAACUCUCAUCCUUGGCAUCGACUGGAAGAGCAUUUCUGGGGCCAAUGAAAUCUCAUAAAUUCAUUGUGGAUGAAACCACCAACCAAAGCACAUUGAUUUGUUCUGCUGUUAGACUGAUUGAAAGUUUGGAUUUGACUAGUGCUGCUGGACAGCUUCUUAAUGAAACCAUUCAGGCACAGAACAAGGAGUUUAAGACUGGGAUGAGUACCCUGUUGUUCCUCGUUGGUGCGUGGAGCAGUGCCGUGGUGGAGUGCCUCCAGCAGAAUGUUCCUGUUUCAGCAAUAGUGUCUGUGAUGUCUGAGGGGUUGAACUCUUGCUGUGAGAGAGUCCAGUGUCUCCAAAUAUCAAUACAUGAUGUAAAGAAAGAGCUGUGUUCUAGCAGAGUUAGGCCCAACGCUUUUGAAUGCAAAGCUUGCCAAGUUGGAUGUGACAGCCUUCUAAAUCCUCAGGAUUUGCUGUAUUUUCAGAAAUGUAUUUCUGAACCAGAAGUAAUUUCAAUAAGUUGUUGUUCCCAUCAAGGAGAUGAUUGUCAUUUUAACAAGGGCUUGGUUUCACCCUUGGUUGGCUUUGGUUCAGCAGCUUCUCUUGUCAAACCAGCGGGUGACAGAAGUUCAUCUGUGAUUCCUGGAAGUGGUGUUAUCGCAUCCAGCUGUAUCAAACAGAAGUUAACCCACAGCAGACACUUCAGCACUUUAGGAAAAAGCCAUUUUUCAGGUCAACAAGGUAAUUUUCAGGAAUACCUUUUGAAACCAUCGGCAGAUCCAUGUGAAUGCUCUGAUUUAGGACACCUGGCAAUGGCUCUGAGUCAUGGAAAUCAGGCUGGUGUGAAACUGCUCCAGAGCAUUGUUGAGUAUCAGCAAGAGAGAGAAGAGUGCAGGGGCUCUUCCCAGCUUAAUAUCACAGAGAUUGUGACAUGCUCUUUGCUGGGCCUGCCUGAAAGCUGUUCCUGUGUCUCCCAGGGCUUUGUCACAUUAGUGUCACCAGAACAAGCCAAAUUCAUCAAACACUUUAAAGACAAAUCCCUCCGGAUCCUGCUGGUGGAUGGUGACCUAACGGAGCAGUAUCGUCACUUAGGUUUUAACAGACCACAUAACGUAAGGACCAUAUUGGAGCAUCCUAACCUAGAGGGAGGCAGAGCAGGAGACACAUGGCUAAGCAGAAUGUUAGAUAUUCUUGUGAGCUUUGAAGUAAACCUAGUUUUGGUCAAAGGAAGCGUGUGCAAAAACUUACUGGACAGAUGCACCGCAAGCAGGAUACUGGUAAUCGGUCCUGUGCCUCGGGAUGUGUUGUGUGCCUUUGGGGAGGUCACUGGUGCCCAGCCAGUGACGUAUCUGAGCCAGCUGAACCCUUCCUGUGCUGGGAACGGGGCCCAGGUGGAGCUGUGGGAGGCCAGCGAUGGGCGUGCGAUGGAUCUGGGUGAGCUUGUGCCAGUCCGGAUCAACGUGCGAGGCAUCCCCCUGCUCACGGCCGUGCUCACCACUGCCGUGGCUUCCAAGGUGCAGCUCCUUGAGGACCAGUUCUGGACUUCAGUGUGUCGACUCCACCAUGCUUUAAAAGAUGGGAAGGUUUUUCCUGGGGGUGGUGCAGUGGAGCUCAUGUGCCUCAGCCACAUCCAGGUGCUCACAGAGCAGCCUGUGCGACCACCAAAGGCUGGGAAAGAGUUUCCCAGUCCUUGGCUGGCAGCACCUGUGGCAGAGUAUAAAUCCCUUGUGCUCCAAGCACUAGCAAGUGGCUGGAAGAGGUACCUUUCUGUGGUCAUGUGUAACAUGGCAAAGGCUCCGUCGGAGUUGGAAGCACGUGCAUUAGUGGAUCAUCACCUCAGGAAAGCAGUGGAUUGUGGCUCUCCCUCAGCAUAUAUACUGGAAUUGUUUAGAAGAGGUGAUGUGCUUGGGGGUGGCUCUGGUCUCUUUGCUGACCAUGGCGAGGGUUUAAAGGUUUAUGAUAACGUUGCAGCCAAGACAGAGGCGUGGAGGAGAGCCCUGGACUUGGUGCUGCUGGUGCUUCAGUCUGAUGUCGAAAUUAUCACAGGCCCCAGAAGGAAUGAGCUGUUGAACUCGCCUGUGUCGAGUGAAUUUAUGUUCUUAUAGGACUUUGCAGUCCCUGAGUCAGCGGGAGAAGUCCAGGUUCAACUUACAUGUCCUCAUAAUUAAUAAAGCAAACACUGAGAUGUGAUUAUGACUUUAGAGCGUUACAGCAGAAAUCAGAAUGAGAGACAGUCACAAGGUAAUUUCUUAUUUCUAGAAAUGGGAAUUAAAUAACAAAAAUCAGUUAUGAGCUUACCUCUAACCCCAGCUUACUAAUAUUGUCUGUAUAGGUGUCUCCUUCUAAAGAAAGGUAGGGACUUCUUACAUGACAUUGGUGUGCUUGUGUUAAAUUAAAGGAUAUAUAUAAUGUAAUUAAUUGGGAAUUAAUACCUUGUUCUUAAUUUCUGUACACUGCAAGCAUAAGAGUUAAACUUGAUUGUUACAUUUUACACUAAGAGUUCAUAUUAAUAGAUUCUAUUUUUGUAUAUUUAUAUGGUCCAUACAUCUCUUAUUUUCCAAUAUAUAACCUUUGGAAUUUCUUUGGAUUUGACAAAUUCAUGCUGAAUCCUUCCUUUUGGUAUUACAGACUGGGUGUAUCUCCACAAAAUUUUCAAUUUUACAUCACAAACUGGAUUUUUGGGUUGUUUCCUUGGAGUCUUUCAGUUGUCUUUGUAGAGAGGAAAAUGGUCUAUGUUUUAGGUGUUGGCUAAAAACUGUAAACAGGUCUAUCAUGACUGAGGCAAGGCAUUUUUACUGUGUUACAGCACUUAUAAUUUGGAAGCAGAGCCCUGAAGAACUGGCACUUCAUUGCAAGAAAGAGAUAAUGUUACUCCGAGAACUAAUGUCCACAGGGAUGAUUUCAGCACAGUUGAAGGGAGAGAACAGCUCACGUAUGUGCACAAACUAGAGACUGGGUUUGAUACUGAAUGGUGGAAGGAAGAAAAGAACACAUUUCUCUAUUUUGACUUCCUACCUGUUGAUUCUGCUGGUAAUGUCCAUUUCUUUAGGUAUUUGAAAAACACCCCUAGUGGUGGCUUGAGCUGCAUUUCAGUGAUGGUUUUCUGUGAGUGCUGGGAUUCAGUUCGCUGCAUUAUGUUCCUGAAAACUUUGUAGGGACAAGGAUGGUUUGGGACAGAAAUGCUUCCCUGAGUGGAGGGAAGUAAUAAUUCCCCAACUUCUCCUUCCACAUCAAGCCCCCGAUGAUCCUUGGGGAGUGGCUUUUUGUCACAUUUAAUCCAAGCCUGGGCUCCCCAGCACCAUCCCCAGCAGCCGUGUGUUCCCAUGGUGAGCCAUGUUUGGGAGGAAUCCUUGAGUGCUUUUCAGAGGGGUGGAAAGAAGGGCUGGGCCAGGAUCAUGCACAGAUGGUGAAAGAGCUCCUGGGAAGGGGGCGGGGGGGAACCGAGGCCUGUAUUUUGUUUCCCUGCCUAGCAGAGAUUCAAAACAAAGAACUGUUUAGAUGAAAAGGAAUUCUUUCCUUGGGGACCAAGUGCUACUCCAAACAAUAGGAUUAUUUUUUCAUUAAUGCAAGAGUAGUAAAGAUAGCAUGCAGUUUUUAUUUAGAAGUAAUGGGAAGACCGGCCCCUGACUGUCUUUUAUUCCAGCUCAAGUCAGUAGUAUGGGGGUUAGUGUUGUUCACAACUUUUGUCUGCUGUGUUGUGAGACCAAAUAUUUAACCAGUAUUGCAGAUUUGGAGAGGUGACUAAAAAUAACACGGUUGGUGAACUUAUUUGUUCCCAAGGUGUGAUCUGAGUCACUGCUUUCACUGACUAAACUUCAAAACAAAACAAAACCAAACAACAUAACCCCCCUAUUUGUUCAUACUGGAGAACCAGAAGAACUCCAGAGGAAUACCUGUCUAUUAUUAGUAAAUCCUAAUUUAUUUUUUUUUUAAGAACAGCAAUCCCUCCAGUAAACUGAAAGGAAUUUUGCCUUGUUUUGGGUAUUAAUUCCUGUAUUCCACUUGCUGCUCCCUGCAUUUGCAGUUCUGUCUGUGGGCUCCAGCUCAAAGAUCCGCCUAUACCAUGCACAUACUGUUUUAGGGGAAGUGAACACAAUUCCAUGUGCAAAAUUCCAUAUCAGUAUAAUGUCUUUGAUUCCCUACAGUAAGGAAAAUUAGACUAGUACCUCUGCAGCAAUACUAAUAUAUUGAUUAGAUCAGUUUAAUUAACUGGCUUAGUCCUCCUAUGUGUCUUUAUUCCAGUUCCCUGAGUAUGCCUUGCUCAAGGUAAAGGGUCAGUUAGUGUUCAGAACUUCACUUCUCACUCUCUUCAUCUCUCAGUUUAUGUAAACACUGUUUGAAUAACCAUCCCAAUUGUGUCAUCCAAAUCCUGGUUCAGGGGUACUUGCUUUCUGGAGCUGUUUAGCUGAGUGCUGCCAGAGGCCAGGAAACUCUGAUAUAAUUGGCAAUAAGAGAGCUUUACUGGAAAGGAAGCCUAAAUGUAUCUUUGUUUAUCUGAAGUACCGAGCAGUUAACUUGAAAAAUGUUUUUAUGUGUGACCCUGGCUAUGCAGUUAUUCUGUUUGACAUCCCAAAUACAAGAGCAGUGCUGUAGAUAGGCUCUACAGAAUUGCCAGAUGUCCGGUCAGUAAUUGCUGUACAUGGGGUGGGUUACUGUGGGUAGUAUGGGAAUGACUCUCAAAUCUCAGCUCCAGUGAUGGAUGCUCAGGAAUGUUUUCCAACAGAACUUGAGGAAGACCUCCAGCCUCCCAGAUUCCACUCACAACCAUUCAUAACACCAGUGAAACUGUGGAAGAAGAGAGGCUUUUCAAGGCCAGAAGAAACUGGAGGAAAUCCAGUGUCUCUUGUUUGUUUGAGUCUCAUUAUUAAACACACUUAUUAAACUGCUGAAGAAAGGUCUUCCAGAAAUACAGGAGCUAAUUUAAAAGUAUGUGACUUGUCUGUGCCAAGGGGUGCUGUUUGAAUUAGCUGUGUUUGCUCACCUGUAAAACAGGACUGCAGACUGCCCUACAACAUGACACUUGGCAUUUACCGCUCGGCCAUGAUGAGAGGAGCCAUUGUACAAAUAGGAUGUUCCAUUCCCUGCCCUCCCUCAAACACUUGUGUCCAUCUCAGAUAACAAGCUGAAAUAGGGUUUGUUAUGAAUUGGAUUUUCUUUUAAAAGGCCAGUCAAGCUGUUUUUGUUCUGGUUUAUGUGUUGCUAUGAGCCAUUACCACACAUUCAGUUCUUCAGUGAGAAUUCACAGAUGCUUUUGCUGCUGCGCAUGUGUGGCGAGAUGUUAUUUUGCUGAUAUGUUGUUCUCAGGAGACCGAAGGGGAAGGGGAAAUCAUACUUUGGUUAUGAAUUAAUACAGGAACCAAUCCCUUUUUUCAUUAAAAACAUCAGUGGAGUUUCUGUGGCUUUGGGGAGUUGGUCCCUAAGAAACAGAUUAUUGCAAAACCAUGAUCAUCCUUCCUCCCUCUUCUGAAUCCUGCUACAGGGCGAAUUUCUGAUCAUUUCUUAGUGGCAAGAAAUGUAAAAUUGAGGACUGCUGCCACUCUUUCUCAGAUGAACCUCUAAUAAACUCAAAUAGCAACAACAAUUGGUUAAUGAUAAGAUGGAAAACACUUCCUUCAGAGAUGCAGUAGGUUGAGUCGUGCUUUACACUGAAGAAUUUGAUAAGGAUUAAGAGCCCAUCAUCUCUAGGUUAAAGGAUGUCUCCUGCAGGAAAUGGCACGUAGGGAGAAUGAUCAGCUUUGGAAACAGUCAUAUCCAUUCUGUUUCUAAUUUUUAAAACUGCAAACUCUUUGGAGAAGAAACUCUUCACUCGGUUCAUAUAGUA